Molecule: transfer RNA, 69 nt
Filed under: Marmota monax (woodchuck)
Lineage: Eukaryota; Metazoa; Chordata; Mammalia; Rodentia; Sciuridae
Description: tRNA.Ala
Source: RNAcentral
GUUUGUAGCUCAGUGGUACAGAGCUUGCCUUGCAUGCAUGAAGCCUUGGGUUCAGACCCCAGCAUCACG